This 473-nucleotide ribosomal RNA is filed under the name uncultured bacterium. Its description in RNAcentral is "bacterial SSU rRNA". It matches the Rfam family "Bacterial small subunit ribosomal RNA", at positions 40 to 507 of the family's 1533-position model. The record is from RNAcentral.
CGGCAGGCUUAACACAUGCAAGUCGAGGGGCAGCACGGGUAGCAAUACCGUGGUGGCGACCGGCGCAAGGGUGCGUAACGCGUGAGCAACAUGCCCUAUACAGGGGGAUAAUCCAGGGAAACUUGGUCUAAUAUCCCAUAGUAUUUAGAGGAGGCAUCUUCUAUAAAUUAAAGCUUCGGGUGGUAUAGGAUUGGCUCGCGUGACAUUAGCUAGAUGGUGAGGUAACGGCUCACCAUGGCAAUGAUGUCUAGGGGUUCUGAGAGGAAGGCCCCCACACUGGGACUGAGACACGGCCCAGACUCCUACGGGAGGCAGCAGUGAGGAAUAUUGGACAAUGGAUGGAAAUCUGAUCCAGCCAUGCCGCGUGCAGGAAGACAGCCCUAUGGGUUGUAAACUGCUUUUAUAUGGGAGCAAUAAGGUCUACGUGUAGACUGAUGAGAGUACCAUAUGAAUAAGCAUCGGCUAACUCCGUG